UACGAAGGGGGCUAGCGCUGUUCGGAAUUACUGGGCGUAAAGCGCGUGUAGGCGGGCCGUUAAGUCGGGGGUGAAAGCCCAGAGCUCAACUCUGGAACUGCCUUCGAUUCUGGCGGCCUGGAGCAUGAUAGAGGCGAGUGGAAUUGCGAGGGUAGAGGUGAAAUUCGGAGAUAUUCGCAGGAACACCAGUGGCGAAGGCGACUCGCUGGGUCAUUGGUGACGCUGCGACGCGAAAGCGUGGGGAGUAAGCAGG
Molecule: ribosomal RNA, 253 nt
Filed under: uncultured bacterium
Lineage: Bacteria
Description: partial 16S ribosomal RNA
Rfam family: Bacterial small subunit ribosomal RNA
Source: RNAcentral